This 1079-nucleotide long non-coding RNA is filed under the name Elaeis guineensis (African oil palm). RNAcentral describes it as "long non-coding RNA (EGUI_LNC064762)". The record is from RNAcentral. Lineage: Eukaryota; Viridiplantae; Streptophyta; Magnoliopsida; Arecales; Arecaceae.
ACGAGUGAUCGAUUCCAUGUUGACCUAUUCACAACCUUCAUACACACUCCACCGUAUCUAGAAUACCCCGUGUUGGGUUUUGGUGGCACAACGGAAGGGUUAGGUGUUUAAAAUUUUAUUCAAAAUAUUCGAUGCACCAGAAAUCCUAAUGCCCAAAAAUCCUUGACCAUAUCAAUCAAAGUAUAAUUAAAAUAAAUUUUGGAUCAAAAGAAUACCUAUAGUGCUAAUCCAAUUUCUAUAAGGUGUCUAUAUAUCUACCCUCUAAUAGUGAUCCACAUGAAAAUUGAAUCAAGGACAAUGCUCUUCCUUCACCUUGCUUCAAGAGUUCUAGCCCCUAGAACUCGACUAGCCACCAAUCGAUCAGAUCUUCCUUUAGACCUGAGUCUGAACCUCUCAGAACCAUCCACUAGAUCUAACCACCUUUUUCUGGACCUCUUAAUCCCUUAGAGCUAUUAAGAUUAGGCUUGUCUUAGAAGAACAAGCCUUUGUCCUAAACCCUAGAGUUGUAAGAGAGGGAGAGAGGGAGUGGAUAGGGGAUGUAAGAAUUGAAUGAUCAACCCUUCUGCUGCCUCCUAUUUAUAGCACCAAAUGAGUCAUCAAUAGAGAAGGCAUGACUCAUCUAGAAAGAUAUAUCAAGUUCAUAUAUCACUUAUCUAAGAGUCUUUAAACAGAAGGACUCUUCAGGGUAUGAUACAUCGAUUUCGGCCCUCUCACAUGCGCACACUCAGAAUGAGAUGCUUUUUGCAUCUCUUCUGACUUCAGAUCAGCAUGAAAAAUUGCCACAUAAUACUUUAUUCAAAUAGAAAGGCUACUAGCAAGUGAUGCCUAAUUUGAAUAAGAGUUCAAACUUGAGAAGGACUCUUCAUCAGAGAGACGCAUGAGUACCUUCUUGCUAUCACACGCGUGCAUGCCUAGAAAAGGGCAUCAAAAGUAACCUUCCUUAAUCUGAUAAUUUUUUAGAUUUUUACCAUAUGAUCAACACUUAAAACUUAUCCUUAUCAAAAAAAAUUAUCAGAUAAGAAAAUCACUUAAGACUCCUUAAACAGAAGGAGACUUCACAUCCCUUUGCACAUCCAGAA